GGAGAGGUAGCCAAGCCUGGUCAAAGGCGCUAGCUUCUGGAGCUUGUCUCUUAGUGAGUUCGCAGGUUCAAAUCCUGCCCUCUGCA
RNAcentral lists this transfer RNA (86 nucleotides) under uncultured archaeon. Its description in RNAcentral is "tRNA-Gln(ctg)". It matches the Rfam family "tRNA". Rfam says of the family: Transfer RNA (tRNA) molecules are approximately 80 nucleotides in length. Their secondary structure includes four short double-helical elements and three loops (D, anti-codon, and T loops). The record is from RNAcentral.